Molecule: non-coding RNA, 31 nt
Filed under: Mus musculus (house mouse)
Lineage: Eukaryota; Metazoa; Chordata; Mammalia; Rodentia; Muridae
Source: RNAcentral
UAAUAAAGUUCUCUCUGAACCAAACGUGCUG